UACGGAGGGGGCUAGCGUUGUUCGGAAUCACUGGGCGUAAAGCGCACGUAGGCGGACUCUUAAGUCGGUGGUGAAAUCCUGGAGCUCAACUCCAGAACUGCCUUCGAUACUGGGAGUCUCGAGUCCGGGAGAGGUGAGUGGAACUGCGAGUGUAGAGGUGAAAUUCGUAGAUAUUCGCAAGAACACCAGUGGCGAAGGCGGCUCACUGGCCCGGUACUGACGCUGAGGUGCGAAAGCGUGGGGAGCAAACCGG
Molecule: ribosomal RNA, 253 nt
Filed under: uncultured bacterium
Lineage: Bacteria
Description: partial 16S ribosomal RNA
Rfam family: Bacterial small subunit ribosomal RNA
Source: RNAcentral